GAUGAACGCUGGCGGCGUGCCUAAUACAUGCAAGUCGAGCGAACAGACGAGGAGCUUGCUCCUCUGACGUUAGCGGCGGACGGGUGAGUAACACGUGGAUAACCUACCUAUAAGACUGGGAUAACUUCGGGAAACCGGAGCUAAUACCGGAUAAUAUAUUGAACCGCAUGGUUCAAUAGUGAAAGACGGUUUUGCUGUCACUUAUAGAUGGAUCCGUGCCGCAUUAGCUAGUUGGUAAGGUAACGGCUUACCAAGGCGACGAUGCGUAGCCGACCUGAGAGGGUGAUCGGCCACACUGGAACUGAGACACGGUCCAGACUCCUACGGGAGGCAGCAGUAGGGAAUCUUCCGCAAUGGGCGAAAGCCUGACGGAGCAACGCCGCGUGAGUGAUGAAGGUCUUCGGAUCGUAAAACUCUGUUAUUAGGGAAGAACAAAUGUGUAAGUACCUAUGCACGUCUUGACGGUACCUAAUCAGAAAGCCACGGCUAACUACGUG
Molecule: ribosomal RNA, 497 nt
Filed under: uncultured bacterium
Lineage: Bacteria
Description: partial 16S ribosomal RNA
Rfam family: Bacterial small subunit ribosomal RNA
Source: RNAcentral